GACGUAGGAUGCGAGCGUUGUCCGGAUUUAUUGGGCGUAAAGAGUUCGUAGGUGGUUCACUAAGUUUGGUGUAAAAGACGGGGGCUUAACCCUCGGAUCGCACUGAAUACUGGUGGACUGGAGUGGAGUAGAGGCAAGCGGAAUUCCCAGUGUAGCGGUGAAAUGCGUAGAUAUUGGGAAGAACACCGGUGGCGUAAGCGGCUUGCUGGGCUUUAACUGACACUGAGGAACGAAAGCUAGGGGAGCGAAUGGG
Molecule: ribosomal RNA, 253 nt
Filed under: uncultured bacterium
Lineage: Bacteria
Description: partial 16S ribosomal RNA
Rfam family: Bacterial small subunit ribosomal RNA
Source: RNAcentral